AUCUACAGUUAUUCCUUCCUGAGCAUUCCUGAUCUUAUGUGACCUCAGAAGCUAAGUAAGGCUGAGUCUGCACUUGGGAGUAAAAUAUUGAAAAGUUCAAAAGGAAGUCCCUUUGUAGUGGAGCUCAGUCUGUACCUC
Molecule: ribosomal RNA, 138 nt
Filed under: Dipodomys ordii (Ord's kangaroo rat)
Lineage: Eukaryota; Metazoa; Chordata; Mammalia; Rodentia; Heteromyidae
Source: RNAcentral